GCUCAGUUGGUUAAGUGUAUGACUCUUGAUUUCAGCUCAGGUCUUGAUCUCAGAGUCAUGAGUUCAAGUCUCAUUUUGGGCU
This 82-nucleotide transfer RNA is filed under the name Ailuropoda melanoleuca (giant panda). It matches the Rfam family "tRNA". Rfam says of the family: Transfer RNA (tRNA) molecules are approximately 80 nucleotides in length. Their secondary structure includes four short double-helical elements and three loops (D, anti-codon, and T loops). Lineage: Eukaryota; Metazoa; Chordata; Mammalia; Carnivora; Ursidae. The record is from Rfam by way of RNAcentral.